Non-coding RNA from Nicotiana tabacum (common tobacco), 940 nucleotides. NCBI's taxonomy places the organism in Eukaryota, Viridiplantae, Streptophyta, Magnoliopsida, Solanales, Solanaceae. The record is from RefSeq and is a predicted model, not a curated record.
AAGUGAACAAACUCGGUUGGACAUGUUUCUAAGCAGAUUCUACGGGAUUGAUUUUUGAGUUUGAUUCAUGAGCAAAGGCUACGACAGAGAAGCAAAGAAAAUCAUUGCACAUUUGUGAAUCAAAUUUCAUCUUUCCAUAGAUCCUAGACAUCUGUUAGUUCCUUUUUCCUUGUGAUUCUAAGGGAGUACGAUACAAUAUUUCUCAAGAAUAUCAUAAGAAUUUUUCCCUACUUUGAUCCUGCGUUACGUGUUCUUCGCAAAAGAUGUAUGCUAAAGGGAUUGUCAAGAGAAUUGGUCCAGGUAUAGAUAAUCAGAUUGACGAACCCUCAUAAUAGACGAGGUCUACGUUCAGCAAAGGAUCGGUAAGACUCCACCUCAUUCGGAGUGCAGCCGAGUCUAUGAGUCAUCGUGUUAAAGUUUUUAUAUAGACUUAUGGGUAGGCCGGUACCCUAUCCAAUUUGAUGUUGAAUAAUCCUAGAGGCUUUGUAGACAAAUGUUCAUUUUGUACAGUAUGUGAGAGGCCUUGCCGGCCCAUAGUUAUUCAUGUCUUAAGAAAAAUGGUUUAGUGAAAUAGUGUUUUUCAGUUACAGUUGUACAUUCCGAGUUGCGGCCAUGUUGGACCAUGAUAGUUACAAAAGGAAGGAACAAGUUACAGAGUGGUUCGCUUGGGCCACUACAGUAUUGGGUGCCAGCCACGCCUCCCCAGGUUCGGGGCGUGAUAGUUUCUACCCUAUCUCACAAUAUGUAUCCCAUGACCAUCUUUCAACCCAUUACCAAGCCUAUCUAACAGUCAUUUCAAUAGAAGUAGAACCACGGUCCUUCUCAUAAGCUUCACAAGAUGCUAGGUGGGUUGAAGCUAUGCAAAAUAAGAUCAAGUCCUUAGAUGAUUACAACACUUGGGAAGUAGUAGACUUGCCCUGUGGUAAAAAGGCCAUUGGGU